RNAcentral lists this small nucleolar RNA (74 nucleotides) under Homo sapiens (human). Lineage: Eukaryota; Metazoa; Chordata; Mammalia; Primates; Hominidae. The record is from RNAcentral.
UUGCAAUGAUCUCAAUCUCUCACUGAAUUCAACCUUGAAGUUGCGAAUCCAUGAGCUUUUUAACCCUGAGCAAU